GCCCUUCUUGCCCUGGCGCCGCCUCCAGCCCAGCCCGUUUCUUGCAGAUUUUAGCUUCUCCCUUGCCUGCCGCCUUUCCCGUUUCGGCUCGGUGAAGCUACCUAUGGGUUGCUGUUCAUUUAACAAACGGUGAUCCGGAUAAACAUGUUCACUUCUUCGCCUGGGCAAACUUUCCAGCCCCCGACCCACUCAUGUCACGAUACCUUCCCGUGUCCAAGUCCGGCUCUCUGCUCCCCACUUUUUUUUUUUUUUUUUUUUGAGACAGAGUGUUUCUCUGUCUCCCAGGCUGGAGUGCAGUGGCGCGAUCUCAACUCACAGUACCCCCUGCCUCCCGGGUUCAAACGAUUUUCUUGCCUCAGCCUCCUGAGUAGCUGGGAUUACAGGCGCGCGCCACCACAGCCGGCUAAUUUUUAUGUUUUAGUAGAGACAGGGUUUCACCAUGUUGGCCAGGAUGGUCUCCAUCUCUUGACCUCGUGAUCCGCCCGCCUCGGCCUCUCAAGGUGCUGGGAUUACAGGUGUGAGCCGCCGCGCCCGGCCUCUUUGCUCUUUUAUACUCUCAGAAGCAAUGAGUUCUGGUUAAAAAAAAGGGCUCGAUAGACGGAAAAAAUGAAGGCUUAAAGAACUGACAACAAAAUAUUAACAUUUGGCUUGUGGAAUUCUUACACUCUCGUAAGCAGAAAAAACAAAUGUUAUGGCAAAAAAGUGUCUCAGACAAAUCCGUCUUGGGGGGAAAAAAAUUAAAAGAAUGAGAAAAACAGACUUCGGAAUAAAUAGACCCAAAGGAGGAAGUAUUGAAAAUGGCAAGAUUCACUUUUACAAACUUAUUUGGAACCACGGCAGAUGGCCAGGGCAGGGAUUUUGCAAGGCAGCUCCAGUUGAGCAGUUGAUUUCUCACCGCCCACCCCCGACCCCACCACUAUUGAUCAUGAGGUGCUUUGAGGGGUCCGGGUUUGGAGGACUGAAACACCGUGGGAUCUUGGAACAGCUCUUCCUUGUUGGUGAUCCCUUAUUAAGAAGCCCUCCAGCCUGACAAUGCUGAAGCCCUGGAGGUUGGAGCCACUCAGAAGAGGAAACCAGAGCACAGAAAGGUUAAGUGAAAUGCCCGAAGUCACACAACUGAUAAAUGGUCAAAUUGGGAUCCAAGCCCAGGCAGCUCUGAGUCAUUGACAUUACUCUGUCCUAGAAGGCACUCGACAGAAAGGGGGUUUGUGCUUCCUCCAUCCCACCCAGCUUCUGAAUGGUCCAGGCCCCUGACUGCAUUGCCACGAAAAGGCCUCAGAAAAAUGUCUGUGCAUGCAUCAAGACUGCAAGCCAGAUCCAAAAUGUAUCAGGUCUCCUUUAUGGGGAAUAGUGAGAAGCAAAUGGAAAUAGAUUGUCUUCCUGCUUGGGACUGUUAACACAGCAGCCAAACUGAACUGAAAAUAUUUUAUUUUAUUUUAUGAGAAUUUUAAUGAGAAUAUUUUAUUCUCAUUAUACUUUGCUAGAAGUUGCCUUCUAGAGGGAUUUCUUUGGGCUUUUAUUUUGAAUUCUAAUAAAGAAUACCUUGACUACAAAUUUGGCCUUGAGAUGUCAUUUAAUGAGGAGUCAAGAUUUUAGUUUCUGGUAGAAAACUGGACACUAAGCUUUCUCCUACGAAAUUGACAUUCUUUGUGCCAACCUUUUAACACUCUCCAAGGGUACCUUCUAGUGGCUUAAUAAAAUCAUCGCUAUGAUGAUGUACUACAUACUUAUGGAAAGCAAGGUUAUUUUAUUAAGAGACAUUAUGCUUUGUAUAGGGAGUUAGAUGGUGCAAGUAAUUUAAGAUAACAAAGGUCCUCAUUUUGUCCCAGAAUUGGCUUUUCUUGCUGAUUCAGCUUUGGAACCUGUGCCUGUUGAACAAAGAAGGAAGGCAGAGAGCAUUUUAACGUCACCUGGUGUCUAGGUGC
Molecule: long non-coding RNA, 1925 nt
Filed under: Homo sapiens (human)
Lineage: Eukaryota; Metazoa; Chordata; Mammalia; Primates; Hominidae
Description: HSALNT0357148
Source: RNAcentral